GAUGAACGCUGGCGGCGUGCCUAAUACAUGCAAGUCGAGCGAACGGACGAGAAGCUUGCUUCUCUGAUGUUAGCGGCGGACGGGUGAGUAACACGUGGAUAACCUACCUAUAAGACUGGGAUAACUUCGGGAAACCGGAGCUAAUACCGGAUAAUAUUAUGAACCGCAUGGUUCAAAAGUGAAAGACGGUCUUGCUGUCACUUAUAGAUGGAUCCGCGCUGCAUUAGCUAGUUGGUAAGGUAACGGCUUACCAAGGCAACGAUGCAUAGCCGACCUGAGAGGGUGAUCGGCCACACUGGAACUGAGACACGGUCCAGACUCCUACGGGAGGCAGCAGUAGGGAAUCUUCCGCAAUGGGCGAAAGCCUGACGGAGCAACGCCGCGUGAGUGAUGAAGGUCUGCGGAUCGUAAAACUCUGUUAUUAGGGAAGAACAUAUGUGUAAGUAACUGUGCACAUCUGGACGGUACCUAAUCAGAAAGCCACGGCUAACUACGU
Molecule: ribosomal RNA, 496 nt
Filed under: uncultured bacterium
Lineage: Bacteria
Description: partial 16S ribosomal RNA
Rfam family: Bacterial small subunit ribosomal RNA
Source: RNAcentral